RNAcentral lists this ribosomal RNA (446 nucleotides) under uncultured bacterium. RNAcentral describes it as "partial 16S ribosomal RNA". It matches the Rfam family "Bacterial small subunit ribosomal RNA", at positions 338 to 795 of the family's 1533-position model. The record is from RNAcentral.
CCUACGGGAGGCUGCAGUCGAGAAUCAUUCACAAUGGGGGAAACCCUGAUGGUGCGACGCCGCGUGGGGGAAUGAAGGUCUUCGGAUUGUAAACCCCUGUCAUGUGGGAGCAAAUUAAAAAGAUAGUACCACAAGAGGAAGAGACGGCUAACUCUGUGCCAGCAGCCGCGGUAAUCCAGAGGUCUCAAGCGUUGUUCGGAAUCACUGGGCGUAAAGCGUGCGUAGGCUGUUUCGUAAGUCGUGUGUGAAAGGCGCGGGCUCAACCCGCGGACGGCACAUGAUACUGCGAGACUAGAGUAAUGGAAGGGGAACCGGAAUUCUCGGUGUAGCAGUGAAAUGCGUAGAUAUCGAGAGGAACACUCGUGGCGAAGGCGGGUUCCUGGACAUUAACUGACGCUGAGGCACGAAGGCCAGGGGAGCGAAAGGGAUUAGAUACCCCAGUAGUC